This 1080-nucleotide long non-coding RNA is filed under the name Carica papaya (papaya). RNAcentral's name for it is "long non-coding RNA (CPAP_LNC012265)". Lineage: Eukaryota; Viridiplantae; Streptophyta; Magnoliopsida; Brassicales; Caricaceae. The record is from RNAcentral.
GAUGAAGAGAAGACAAGCCCAAUUCCAUGAUCUAAAACCCAAACCGGCCGAACCCAAAAUGUCCACCGUAGAUUUUUAAUCUCUAAAACUUAGCUUAAUCCCAUUUUCAAAUCCAGCCCAUCCCCUUCUUCGGCUCAAACGGCGCCGUUUGGGAUCAACUUCUUCCUUCUCGUCGAUAGAAGGCAUGUUCAGGCUGGGGGGGAAAAUGAAAAAAUCGAAAGAGAGGGGGCAGGUGAGAUGGGCUGACAGAGAACUGAUGAUGAUAGUUGAGAGCUGAUGACUCAAGGUAGAAAGAUAAGACGAGUCCAGAGAGCAAUUUGCAAAGAAGAAAGAAAUAGAAGAAUGGCGUCGGUUGAUGAAGAAAGGAAGAAGGGGGGGACCGGGUGAUUACGUGACAGAAGAAAGGAGCAGCAGAAGAUGAGGAUAAUCGUUUAUCCGGAGUGGAAUGCUGUGAAAGAACCAAAAAUACAGAGAAGGGACAGAGACGAAGAAAAAAAAAAAAGAGUGAGAAAGAAAAGAAGAGAAACAGUGAGCAGACAAAGAGCAAGAAGAAAUCAAGAGCAAAGAGAGGAACAUCCAGUGCCCGUUGAGUGAAGGAAAAGGUGGGUGUGUCGAGGAAGAGGCGAGUCGUCCUUCCUCUUCUCGGCAAAGCAGUGGAAAGAAGACGGAUCCAACGCAGAAGAGGAGUCGUGUUUACACAGGGUUCUUUUGGUAAAGGAACUGGAGCGAGCCCCAGAUUCUGUUUGGGAUAUGUGUAUAUCCCAAUCCUUCUUAUGUUUAAUACGAACGCCUGAAAUAGUUGACAAUAAAUGAAAUUGAUUUUGAAGCUUUAUGCUUGACGAAAUGAUGUUAUCCAAGCUAGUUAGGAUAUUUUAAAGUGUAUCAAUGACCGAAUUGAUUAAUUUGGGGAUUCUUCUCUGUUUCUUUCCUGUAAUCUCAUAUCUCUAAUGACACCCUUGAUUUGGAGUGAGAAGAAUGAUCCUUAGGUGUUCGCAUUCAAAUUGAAUGAGAAUGAAAAUUAAUGUAUUUCAAAGUGUGGUCGAAUCGAUUCGUCGCAGUAUCAUCUAAGUAAUUGUUUCG